This 999-nucleotide ribosomal RNA is filed under the name Escherichia coli. RNAcentral describes it as "partial 23S ribosomal RNA". It matches the Rfam family "Bacterial large subunit ribosomal RNA", at positions 1944 to 2925 of the family's 2925-position model. The record is from RNAcentral. Lineage: Bacteria; Pseudomonadati; Pseudomonadota; Gammaproteobacteria; Enterobacterales; Enterobacteriaceae.
AACGGUCCUAAGGUAGCGAAAUUCCUUGUCGGGUAAGUUCCGACCUGCACGAAUGGCGUAAUGAUGGCCAGGCUGUCUCCACCCGAGACUCAGUGAAAUUGAACUCGCUGUGAAGAUGCAGUGUACCCGCGGCAAGACGGAAAGACCCCGUGAACCUUUACUAUAGCUUGACACUGAACAUUGAGCCUUGAUGUGUAGGAUAGGUGGGAGGCUUUGAAGUGUGGACGCCAGUCUGCAUGGAGCCGACCUUGAAAUACCACCCUUUAAUGUUUGAUGUUCUAACGUUGGCCCGUAAUCCGGGUUGCGGACAGUGUCUGGUGGGUAGUUUGACUGGGGCGGUCUCCUCCUAAAGAGUAACGGAGGAGCACGAAGGUUGGCUAAUCCUGGUCGGACAUCAGGAGGUUAGUGCAAUGGCAUAAGCCAGCUUGACUGCGAGCGUGACGGCGCGAGCAGGUGCGAAAGCAGGUCAUAGUGAUCCGGUGGUUCUGAAUGGAAGGGCCAUCGCUCAACGGAUAAAAGGUACUCCGGGGAUAACAGGCUGAUACCGCCCAAGAGUUCAUAUCGACGGCGGUGUUUGGCACCUCGAUGUCGGCUCAUCACAUCCUGGGGCUGAAGUAGGUCCCAAGGGUAUGGCUGUUCGCCAUUUAAAGUGGUACGCGAGCUGGGUUUAGAACGUCGUGAGACAGUUCGGUCCCUAUCUGCCGUGGGCGCUGGAGAACUGAGGGGGGCUGCUCCUAGUACGAGAGGACCGGAGUGGACGCAUCACUGGUGUUCGGGUUGUCAUGCCAAUGGCACUGCCCGGUAGCUAAAUGCGGAAGAGAUAAGUGCUGAAAGCAUCUAAGCACGAAACUUGCCCCGAGAUGAGUUCUCCCUGAGACUUUAAGUCUCCUGAAGGAACGUUGAAGACGACGACGUUGAUAGGCCGGGUGUGUAAGCGCAGCGAUGCGUUGAGCUAACCGGUACUAAUGAACCGUGAGGCUUAACCUUACAACGCCGAAG